GCGGGAACCGGCUUGGCCGCGCGCAUGCGCCGACGUGCGGCUGUGGACCCGCCGGGGGGAGCCGUCGCCCGUGGGACUCUGGCGUGGUCUCGGGAUCCCGCGUGUGGCUCUCACUUUUUAGGCUUUGGUGGCUGCCCUCCAACCAGCGUUGCCCACUCUGCCGGCAGAAAAGAUAAAAGACAAGUCUCCUAUGACUGAGCAUUGGGCUAAUAAGUGCCCACAUCCCUGCCCGCCUUCCACGCCAUGUCCAGCUUGCCAGCAGGAGAGGCAUUGGAAGUCUGAUUGCCCCGCCAUCAGGACAGGCACCGCGCCUCAACGUAGUGCCUCUCCUCAAAGGUGGGAAGGCUCCUUCCAACUCCUACACCUUGACGAGGACUGACGGUGCCCACACUCGGAGACCCCGGUCACCCUCGCCCAGCCCAGGGUAACGCUACAGGUAGCGGAUUCUCUCAACAUUACCUGGACUCAUCAAGCAACAACUAACCAGAACCUCCAUAGAGGCACAGCAAUCGUGGGUAACCCUACUACCCCUUGCCCUUACCAGACUACCAGCGGCACUUAGAAGCCCCACGGGCCGGCCAGGCGCGGUGGCUCACGCCUGUAAUCCCAGCACUUUGGGAGGCCGAGGCGGGCGGAUCACAAGGUCAGGAGAUCGAGACCACGGUGAAACCCCGUCUCUACUAAAAAUACA
Macaca mulatta (Rhesus monkey) is the source of this 691-nucleotide long non-coding RNA. RefSeq lists it as uncharacterized. Lineage: Eukaryota; Metazoa; Chordata; Mammalia; Primates; Cercopithecidae. The record is from RefSeq and is a predicted model, not a curated record.